This 341-nucleotide unclassified non-coding RNA is filed under the name soil metagenome. RNAcentral describes it as "partial contains 5.8S ribosomal RNA, internal transcribed spacer 2, and large subunit ribosomal RNA". The stretch from base 1 to 120 matches the Rfam family "5.8S ribosomal RNA", at positions 35 to 154 of the family's 154-position model. The record is from RNAcentral.
GAUGAAGAACGCAGCGAAAUGCGAUAAGUAGUGUGAAUUGCAGAAUUCAGUGAAUCAUCGAAUCUUUGAACGCACAUUGCGCCCUUUGGUAUUCCAAAGGGCAUGCCUGUUCGAGCGUCAUUUGUACCCUCAAGCUUUGCUUGGUGUUGGGCGUCUUGUCUCUAGCUUUGCUGGAGACUCGCCUUAAAGUAAUUGGCAGCCGGCCUACUGGUUUCGGAGCGCAGCACAAGUCGCGCUCUCUAUCAGCAAAGGUCUAGCAUCCAUUAAGCCUUUUUUUCAACUUUUGACCUCGGAUCAGGUAGGGAUACCCGCUGAACUUAAGCAUAUCAAUAAGCGGAGGA